CAGUAGCCGCGGUAAUACGGAGGGGGCUAGCGUUAUUCGGAAUUACUGGGCGUAAAGCGCACGUAGGCGGCUUCGCAAGUCAGAGGUGAAAGCCUGGGGCUCAACUCCAGAAUUGCCUUUGAGACUGCGUCGCUCGAAUCCGGGAGAGGUGAGUGGAAUUCCGAGUGUAGAGGUGAAAUUCGUAGAUAUUCGGAAGAACACCAGUGGCGAAGGCGGCUCACUGGACCGGUAUUGACGCUGAGGUGCGAAAGCGUGGGGAGCAAACAGGAUUAGAUACCCCUGUAGUCCCUGUCUCUUAUAC
RNAcentral lists this ribosomal RNA (301 nucleotides) under uncultured bacterium. RNAcentral's name for it is "partial 16S ribosomal RNA". It matches the Rfam family "Bacterial small subunit ribosomal RNA", at positions 509 to 807 of the family's 1533-position model. The record is from RNAcentral.